This is a small nuclear RNA of Otolemur garnettii (small-eared galago), 158 nucleotides long. Its record names the gene U1. It matches the Rfam family "U1 spliceosomal RNA". Rfam says of the family: U1 is a small nuclear RNA (snRNA) component of the spliceosome (involved in pre-mRNA splicing). The record is from Ensembl. NCBI's taxonomy places the organism in Eukaryota, Metazoa, Chordata, Mammalia, Primates, Galagidae.
AUACUUAACCUGGCAGGGGAGAUACCAUGAUUGCAAAGGUGGUUUUCCCAGGGUGAGGCUUAUCCAUUGUACUCUAGAUGCUGACCCCUGAGAUUUCCCCAAAUUUGGGAAACUCGGCUCGGCACCUGUGGCUCAAGUGGCUAAGGCAGCAGCCACAU